This 253-nucleotide ribosomal RNA is filed under the name uncultured bacterium. RNAcentral's name for it is "partial 16S ribosomal RNA". It matches the Rfam family "Bacterial small subunit ribosomal RNA", at positions 524 to 776 of the family's 1533-position model. The record is from RNAcentral.
UACGGGGGGGGCAAGCGUUGUUCGGAAUUACUGGGCGUAAAGGGCUCGUAGGCGGCCAACUAAGUCCGACGUGAAAUCCCAAGGCUUAACCUGGGAACUGCGUCUGAUACUGGGAGGCUCGAGUAUGGGAGAGGGAUGUAGAAUUCCAGGUGUAGCGGUGAAAUGCGUAGAUAUCUGGAGGAAUACCGGUGGCGAAGGCGGCAUCCUGGACCAUUACUGACGCUGAGGCGCGAAAGCUAGGGGAGCAAACGGG